UAAAAGGUCGGAGGAAGGUGGGGAUGACGUCAAAUCAUCAUGCCCCUUAUGACCUGGGCUACACACGUGCUACAAUGGGCGGUACAAAGGGUCGCGAACCCGCGAGGGGGAGCCAAUCCCAAAAAGCCGCUCUCAGUUCGGAUUGCAGGCUGCAACUCGCCUGCAUGAAGCCGGAAUCGCUAGUAAUCGCGGAUCAGCAUGCCGCGGUGAAUUACCGGUUCCCGGGCCUU
Molecule: ribosomal RNA, 230 nt
Filed under: uncultured Anoxybacillus sp.
Lineage: Bacteria; Bacillati; Bacillota; Bacilli; Caryophanales; Anoxybacillaceae
Description: partial 16S ribosomal RNA
Rfam family: Bacterial small subunit ribosomal RNA
Source: RNAcentral